AUUGAACGCUGGCGGCAUGCCUUACACAUGCAAGUCGAACGGUAACGCGGGGCAACCUGGCGACGAGUGGCGAACGGGUGAGUAAUGCAUCGGAACGUGCCCAGUAGUGGGGGAUAGCCCGGCGAAAGCCGGAUUAAUACCGCAUACGACCUAAGGGUGAAAGGGGGGGAUCGCAAGACCUCUCGCUAUUGGAGCGGCCGAUGUCAGAUUAGGUAGUUGGUGGGGUAAAGGCCUACCAAGCCGACGAUCUGUAGCUGGUCUGAGAGGACGACCAGCCACACUGGGACUGAGACACGGCCCAGACUCCUACGGGAGGCAGCAGUGGGGAAUUUUGGACAAUGGACGCAAGUCUGAUUCAGCCAUGCCGCGUGCGGGAAGAAGGCCUUCGGGUUGUAAACCGCUUUUGUCAGGGAAGAAAUCUUCUGGGUUAAUACCUCGGGAGGAUGACGGUACCUGAAGAAUAAGCACCGGCUAACUACGUGCCAGCAGCCGCGGUAA
This 498-nucleotide ribosomal RNA is filed under the name uncultured bacterium. RNAcentral's name for it is "partial 16S ribosomal RNA". It matches the Rfam family "Bacterial small subunit ribosomal RNA", at positions 29 to 523 of the family's 1533-position model. The record is from RNAcentral.